This 371-nucleotide ribosomal RNA is filed under the name Circinella sp. FSU 6198. RNAcentral describes it as "eukaryotic LSU rRNA". It matches the Rfam family "Eukaryotic large subunit ribosomal RNA", at positions 66 to 432 of the family's 3401-position model. The record is from RNAcentral. Lineage: Eukaryota; Fungi; Mucoromycota; Mucoromycetes; Mucorales; Lichtheimiaceae.
UAACAAUGAUUCCCUCAGUAACGGCGAGUGAACAGGGAAAAGCUCACAGUUGGAACCUAGCUGCCUUAGGUAGUUCGGAUUGUAAACUGAAAAAGUGUUAUCCAGGCUAGCCGAGUAAAAAAGUUUCUUGGAAUAGAACAUCAUGGAGGGUGAGAAUCCCGUCUUUGGCUUGAGCAUAGUCUUUUGUGUUGCACUUUAACGAGUCAGGUUGUUUGGGAAUGCAGCCUAAAGUGGGAGGUAAAUCCCUCCUAAAGCUAAAUAUUGGCGAGAGACCGAUAGCAAACAAGUACCGUGAGGGAAAGAUGAAAAGAACUUUGAAAAGAGAGUUAAACAGUAUGUGAAAUUGCUAAAAGGGAAGCGUUUGAAGACAG